ACUUGUGCAGAGCUACUGCAUUGUGUUUCAGCCUAUCGGCAGCUUUCCUUAAAACAUUUUUGAAGUUUGUUCUAUACUUGGGAUAGAAGUUUUACUAAAGUCCCCAAAUUCACUCUUUCAAUAACAGCUGAGAGCAAUCUUGAACCUUUUACUGCCCGACCCUUUUCCUUCCCGCUAUUUGGUUUAGGGGUUCCGCUCCAGCUAUAAGCUUUCAUCAGUUCGUUCGUCAUUACCUACCGCCAUAUUCUUCUGAUUGUGUCUUCUACGUUUUUUUUAAAGAAUGGACGUAGCAUUUACACCUUAAUUGAAAGUAUGAUUUAGAAACAGAUGACUCAUUUACGAGGGGUACACCACACCAAAAAGUGGUGUGAUGGAAACCCAUAGCUCAUUUACAACAUUUUUUGGAACUUACAAGAUUGUUGUUAACUUCCGGUUGUAACAGUCCCUCCUCAAAAUGUAGGAAGUCUUCUUUUGUGUUUAACGGAAGGCUGACGUGUCUCUGAAAGACUAGAUGGCGAUUUCCUUCGCUGUUAUUGUUCCGCACUUCAGAUUGUUUCUUUGCAAUAAUAAGCCAACGCAAAUAUCGUUGCUCUGCUCUAAUGUCAGGUAAUUCUCUCGCCAUCACUCGUAAAUAUUGAUUUUUCUCUGUAAUAAAAAUAUCAACAAAUUCAUAAUAAAGAUUUAGACAAGCAAACAUCUCAAAUUUCUCACUCGAAACAUUUUUCAGAACUUUUUUUUUCUAAAGAGUAUCUUUUUUAUCAGGUGAACCUGAAGUUCAAUAAUACAUUAAUAUAUAAUUUAUGUGUUUAUGAAAUAUACGAAGAAUUCUAACCCACCAAUGGUUGUUUUGCGCUUUAAGUGAGGGUUAGUUGUCUCUUGGGAGGUUGAAGGCAUUGCCAUUAGUGCUUGUGACUGUAUCAUGCUUAAGUCCUCGCCAUUUUGGCCACGAGAAGUCUCGCCUGAAUCGCUCGUCCCUGGCUGCUGUGAUGUAACAGUAGGUUGCGAAAAAAAUGUGUGGAGGCUUUUUAUGAGUGACGCUGCUUGUCAAAAUACUAAAAAGCCGCCAGAUGUCUUACCUGGGAGAACUAAGGCUGAUUCUGCUUUCCGCAAAGCAAUUUUCGGAUUACUUGUUAUGCAUUUAAGACUUAAACGGGAAAAUGUCGUCUUGACUGUUUGUGUAUUGUGUUUGUGUAUUCCUGUUCCGAAUUCUGAACAAUUUAAUUUUUAUUUCGGUUAUGUGCUUCAUAUACAUUGUAUGGAAAAAUGCUUGAUGGCAGAAUUGUAUUAAAAACAAAAGAAAGUAACGAGGAAGAUCGAGAACAGAAGUGUUUAAGAAGUGUACGCAGUGUGAAGGACUCUACUCCGAAUCAAGCGAGCCACAAUUGCUAGUUGAAGCUGUCAUGUUAGUAGAAGUCAGCAUAACAUGCCAGACCAUGUCAUUAAAUGGUCGUGUAAAUUAUCAAUAGCUCGUGAAAUGGGCAUGUCCAGUUACGGCAUGACACGGCUAGCGAAAUGGGCAACCAAGGAACCAUUCUCAGAUUCGGAGAGGAAUUGACUUGCAUCACUGGAUUACCUCAAAGAUGAAUGGAUGAAGUUACCGAUGACAUUCACACAGUCUGCCUUAUUAUUAAAAGUUAGUUAAUAAUCUAAUUGUUUUAUUAUAGGAGAAAUGAAAAGUAGGCAGAACUUCUCUGUCGUUGGAAAUCGGAUAUAACUAUUCGCGGAAGAAGAUACUGUGCCGGAAACCCAGACGGAUCACUGCGAAACGCGACCCACGUUUGAAGAGGCCAAAGAUUUGCUCUCAUAUAGAAAAACAGAUAGCGCCAGAAAUUUAGGGAGGAACUGGCUAACCUACUGGGAAAACGAAGCCGGAAGAACCGAACGCGAUACCCGAUUGAAUUUCAAUAAGCAGAUUCGACUGCUGAAGUUGAAUGGCCACUCGAAGGAAAUUCUCAGUAUUCACCUUAUCUCUAUCGAAGCCUUUUGCUCUAACGAAAGGUUGCCACCGGUGGGACGUUGGAACAUGAUUCCGAUUUCUUCGCUAAAAUGAAACUAAAUAAAUAAACGUUCUCUUUCCAAUAA
Molecule: long non-coding RNA, 2082 nt
Filed under: Daphnia pulicaria
Lineage: Eukaryota; Metazoa; Arthropoda; Branchiopoda; Diplostraca; Daphniidae
Description: uncharacterized LOC124312654, transcript variant X1
Source: RNAcentral